This 447-nucleotide ribosomal RNA is filed under the name uncultured bacterium. RNAcentral's name for it is "bacterial SSU rRNA". It matches the Rfam family "Bacterial small subunit ribosomal RNA", at positions 329 to 792 of the family's 1533-position model. The record is from RNAcentral.
GUCCAGACUCCUACGGGAGGCAGCAGUGGGGGAUAUUGCACAAUGGGGGAAACCCUGAUGCAGCGACGCCGCGUGGGUGAAGAAGUAUUUCGGUAUGUAAAGCCCUAUCAGCAGGGAAGAAAGAAGACGGUACCUGACUAAGAAGCCCCGACUAACUACGUGCCAGCAGCCGCGGUAAUACGUAGGGGGCGAGCGUUAUCCGGAUUCACUGGGUGUAAAGGGAGCGUAGACGGCCGUGCAAGCCAGGAGUGAAAGCCCGGGGCCCAACCCCGGGACUGCUCUUGGAACUGUGCGGCUGGAGUGCGGGAGGGGCAGGCGGAAUUCCUGGUGUAGCGGUGAAAUGCGUAGAUAUCAGGAGGAACACCGGUGGCGAAGGCGGCCUGCUGGACUGCAACUGACGUUGAGGCCCGAAAGCGUGGGGAGCAAACAGGAUUAGAUACCCGCGUA